RNAcentral lists this ribosomal RNA (200 nucleotides) under uncultured Psychrobacter sp. RNAcentral's name for it is "partial 16S ribosomal RNA". It matches the Rfam family "Bacterial small subunit ribosomal RNA", at positions 307 to 499 of the family's 1533-position model. The record is from RNAcentral. Lineage: Bacteria; Pseudomonadati; Pseudomonadota; Gammaproteobacteria; Moraxellales; Moraxellaceae.
GCCCCGCCCGGACUGAGACACGGCCCGGACUCCUACGGGAGGCAGCAGUGGGGAAUAUUGGACAAUGGGGGCAACCCUGAUCCAGCCAUGCCGCGUGUGUGAAGAAGGCCUUUUGGUUGUAAAGCACUUUAAGCAGUGAAGAAGACCUUAUGGUUAAUACCCAUAAGCGAUGACAUUAGCUGCAGAAUAAGCACCGGCUA